Molecule: unclassified non-coding RNA, 3280 nt
Filed under: Saccoglossus kowalevskii
Lineage: Eukaryota; Metazoa; Hemichordata; Enteropneusta; Harrimaniidae
Description: perilipin-2-like, transcript variant X1
Source: RNAcentral
AUGUGAAACUUUGAUCCGAAUAUAUAGUGGAAAGGUUCCAAAGAGUCUAUGCACCACCUGGACAAGCGAUAGGUCUAUAGUAGUUUUGGGAUAGGUCCAUGGUCCAUGUAAGAACUCAAAGUCUCAAUGUUACUUAUUGUUAUUCAAAUUACACAAUCUAUUGAAAACAAUAGCUUUAUAACGAGCCCUAGCAGCAAGCGUGUGUACGUUCGAACCUGUCUCGGCAGAAAGAUGUAUUAGUGUUACCACGAUGGAAUCCAACUCACCUUAUAAUCAAAGACUAACGGAAAUGGAAACAAAGGUAAAUGACACCGACGUCAAUAAAAAUGAAACUCCGAAGAAGCUAGACGGUACACCUGACAGCGAUAUAGACCUAACACAAGAGGUUAUACUCUGCCUAACAAAUAUCAAUAUGACUCGAUUCAAAACACCGUCACCGCGUUGGAAAACGGUUGCCAAAAUGACAAAUAACGAGAACGUCGACUGGCUAACGAGGCUAAACGAAGUAUCACUAAUAAUUUGUGAUGAGGUCAUUACUAUGUCAACACACCCAGCAACUUCUUCACCAUCAGAGCAAAUUAGUAUCACCCCGAUUACAAAGUGUCGAACGUCUAUCAAAGGAAAGGAAACUUUGAGUAAAAGUUUGAAAAUAAAUUCUAGAAGAAAAAAUAAACAGAAAAUUCGUAGAAAAUCGACAGACUCAGUGAAUAGUAACACAAGUGAAACGACAAGAAAGCAAAGUAGAAAUUUUGGUGAAGAAGUUGACGAAUUCUACAUUGAUGACAGUUUCCCGCGUUUCCUUGACGACGAACAUGUGGACCAUGGUGCUUUACAACUUCUGGGUAACGUAGCACUUGAAAAUAGCGAUGACCAGACUGAGGGGGCGGCAGAUGACGAAAAAUCCAAUACUUUGCUCGAAGAUUUCGACAAAAGACUAAAAUCUGUCGAUAAGGGAAUGCAAGAGCGAAUAGCACGGUCACUACCAUCUGUAAAUAACCAAUGUAUAUGCCACGAGAAACCAUUGAUGAAAGAUGUGGCAGUUCAGGUGAUGUCUGAGAUUAUGGAAACCAAGCAAAUGGAGGAAAUGGCUGUAGAAAAUUCAUCAGAAACUGGUGAGAAUAUCAUUGUAAGAGUCGCAGGGUUACCCAUGGUGAACUCUGCCAUUGGUCAAGUGUCUAGCAUGUAUACUAAGACUAAAGAGUGGAAUGGAUUGGUCAAAUAUACACUGGAAACUGCAGAGAAGUCUGUUGCGACCAUCGCUGGCACCGCUAUGCCUGUAGUCAAUAAGUUGGAGAAACCAAUCAACUUGGCCAAUUACUAUGCCUGUACUACAAUGGAUAAAUUGGAGGAAGCAUGUCCCAUCAUUAACCAACCAACUGACAAGAUUGUUAGCAGUGUGGUUGAUGGCACAAAGACUGCCUGGGAUAAUACUAAGAAAGCUGGCAGUGAUAAAAUAAACUACAUGAUGCAGAAUAGAGUGGUACAAGCUUUCACUGGCACUAUGGAUGCAACAUUGUCCCUGUCAGAAAAGGUUGUGGACUCGUACUUGCCACCAGAACCAACUGAAAAUGAGGAGUAUGAAAAAGAGAAAGCAACUGAAGAUGCAGCUAACUCUGAAAAGGAGAUUAUUCCUGAUGCUGAGGAAGUUGGUGGGGAGUCGGCAGUUGCACGCGUUGUUAAUUUGUCUGGUAAAGUACGCCAUCGUGUGUAUGCACGUGCCAUGUCAAAGUUGCGAAAUGCCCAGAAGCGUAGUCGGGAAACUUUGGAUAACCUGAAAUUCACUGUUAACCUGAUUGACUAUGCCAAGGAAAACAUUGACUCUACAAAUCAGAAAGUAAAGGAUCAAGUAACGAGUGCCCAAGAUAAACUGUGGAGUACAUGGAAUGAUUGGACAACUGAAGAUGGUGAACAGUCAUCUAUUGCAGAUGAACAGGAACAAGAACAAAAAACAUUGGCUGUUGCCCGUGAUUUGGCAAAAAGAUUGAAAAUUGCAUGUGGUAAAGUAACUAGUGCUAGUCUGAAAAUAUUACCUGAUAGCAUGAUGACCCAAGUUACCAAGGCCAAGAACUUUACUGAUGAACUUUAUGACUCCUUCAAGAAUGCCAAAGUUUUCAACGACUUGCCAUCCUCAUUACUAACCCAGGCUAAGGAUGGACUAAAUCAAGUAUCUGAUAUGAUGAUGAGCGUUACUGAGUAUGCUGUCAACAGCAGAGCAUUGCAGUGGCUGGUCCCAAGUAAGGUGAAACAAGCCCUCACUUCAGGGGGUUAUGAUGUCAUUUUGGAAAGCAUCCCACCCAAUCCUGAUGAUGCCCUUGACAGCGAUGAUGAGGAUGAUGAGGACGACGAUGAGGACGACGAUGAUGAUGAAAUUGACAUUGAUGAUGAAUUUCAUACCAAUGAAGUGGUGAUGUCGCAAUGACAAUCACGAUGCGAAGCCAAAUCAUUGUUAUCCCAGUAUCUUGAAUACCUUUUUCGUAUUAUCAAUAGAUCCCAAGAUUUUAGUAUGCACGCUAGAGUGAGAGUGGACCUGAAUGACGAGAGGAUUGAGUUGGCUAUAGGUACCAGAUGUACAGUUUGAUCGCCUAGAUUUUGAGUUUACUGGUGAUGACUCUGACAAUGAAGGCGAUGUUGCUGACAUUAACAGUUCAAAUUCAGGCUUGGAUGUGGAUUACUUUGACAGCAAUGGAGAAUUUUAACACCUUUGUUGUUGGAUGCUUUGUAUUUCCGACUUUGCUAUGUAGGAAUCUAGCAUAACAACCUCUGCAUAUAAUUUUAAGCUGUAAAGUCUUUUAAGAUGGUGGUGGUGCAUGCAACUAACAAAAUUCUUAAAUUUUCAAUUCCGACUCUGAAACUUGUACUGCAAUUUUACUUAAAAUGUUUCUGAAAACACAACUUUUAAAUUGUCAGUUAUCGCUCAACUGUUAUUAGCAUUUGUUUAAAUGAUAUCUAGUCAUCUCUUUACAAGUUUUCACACAUCUAUGGCUUUGCAUUCCAUAUAUACUGUAAUCAGAGACUGUUUUUAUUAGAUGCAUGUAUUACUGGAUUCCUGUUUUUGUCUGAUAAAGUGUAGACCAAACAUGUAUGCAUGAUUUUAAAUAAUUUUUUCUUUUAGGAAUUACAAACAAUAUAUGCCCUCUAAAAAAAAAAGCCAGAUUACUCUACUACUAAGAUUAGCUUCCUAGUAAUUCUGAUUGAAAUUGGUAAUUUUCUGCUAUUGUUGAGUCUGUAAAACUUUUGAUUUGUAGUGUCACUUGUGGUAAUAAAGGUUACUUACUGCAAA